Grus americana (Whooping crane) is the source of this 4812-nucleotide long non-coding RNA. RefSeq lists it as uncharacterized. The record is from RefSeq and is a predicted model, not a curated record. NCBI's taxonomy places the organism in Eukaryota, Metazoa, Chordata, Aves, Gruiformes, Gruidae. The transcript is spliced from 2 exons.
UAGAGGAAUUUAGAAAUUUUACAUUAAGAAGAGGAAGGAGAGAUUCCUUCUGUUGUUUUCAUGUCAAAAGAUAGAAGACAUGAUCUGAAGAUAUUGAUGGAGGAUUUGGCUUUACCUGUUACUAAUUGGUAAAACUUUCUGUUUAUUUUUAAAAACUGCCUUUUCAUAAUGUCCAAUAAAUGUAACACCAAUUUGUUAGCAGAAAAGGAAGAUAAACCUAAUAUGCCGUAACAUCAAGAUGCAGAGACAGCACAAGGAUAGUAACUUAUAAUGAAUCCAGAGGUGUGCUUUCCAGCCUUGCACUGCAGUCCACUCCCAGGCCACCAAACAGACCCUUUAUUUUUGACUGGAAAAAUAAAACCAGCUAACUAUGCUGCUAGCCACAUCACUACCUUCCAGGGACUACAGAGUUGAUAUGACUUGGCCUCAUUAACCCAAUGCACGAUUAGGUUUAGGACAGAGCUUUGUCUUUGGCUUAUACUGUAGCCUGAUAAAUGUCUUAGAAAAAAGUAUUUAAUCAGUCUCAUCAGUUCAGUAAAGGUGCUGACGUUGCUGUUCCAGAUUGCUUUAUUUCAAAGUUUUGCACAGAGCUGUAGCUUCUAAAUCCUUCUGGAGAAAAAGACUUACAUAUUUAGAAAGUCUGAAUAAGAGCAAGAUUAUACAUAGGCCUGCAUGCUGUAAGCAUGUGUGUAUGCACUGGAUUUAUGAAUUAUCAUUCUUUCAUUUUCUAUGCAUCAGAAAAUUCUUCCGACUGUGUAAAAUCUAAAAUGCUGCUAAGAGUAAAAACAUUUGGGCUAUCUGAAUUUUUAUGUGGUGAAAGCAAAGCUCAAAAAGGACAUUGUUUGUUUCUGAAACUGUCAGGGUUCAGGAGUUCAAUGUAUCCCAAGGGCAAGAAGACAAUCUGGCAGACCUCUUAGUCUUUGACUUGAGUAUAUUCAAAGUUAGAAACAACAAGGCACAACUUGGGGAGCCAUAUUGCAAUGAUAGUUUCACAUUUUGAGCAUCCAAGGGUUUUAGCACAACACCUUGGAUACUCAAGGACGGUAUGUUACCCUUUGUUACUAUGUCAUUAGUCCCAGUAAAAUCAAGGCCACCAGGUUAGGACUAGUGUGUUGCAAACGCGUGCUCCAAAGUACGGCCUUCUGACUUCCUGAAUAGUUUAGCCCUGACUCACAAACAAAGCUGUUCUUCACAAGAGGAAAACAAAUACACUCUGAGGGCUUUUCAGUCACUGGUAUACAGAGAAUACCUCUUUAUGCUCAUCACAAGUGAGAAGUUACCUGCUCAAACAAGUAGUCCUCCAGCUUAACUAAAUUUGUCCAACCAGGACCUACAUAUAUACUCAUUAUAACAAACUGUGGUUUAAAUCAGGACAUACAAAAAUGUAUGCUUUAUUUUUUUUCCUCCAGGAAAUAACUGGAAACAAAGAAUAAUUGCGUCAAACUACUGGAUGCCUCCUUAUGGCCAUCAUUACACAUGUUCCUGUGGAAAAAAAAUUACAGAACUGUUAGUAUUCUUCCUUCAAAAUACAAUUAAUUUUAGCCUUAUUUUUAUUCUGGUCAAACUGUGAGUGAGGUCAUACUUCUUGGUGACUAUCUGAAAGCAGUCGUGCAAAAUGAUUGCUGUACUUCUAGUCUUUUAUGUCAAUGAAGUCCUAUGUAGGCAUGGGGUCCUACAAGCAUUUGGAUAAUAAACUGAUGGUAAAAAGUGUUUUGCAAUUCCCAUUCAGUUUUUGGUAAACAUCUAAUGUCUUCCAAUACUUUUUAUAUUAGUUUCUUGUAACAAAAAUAUGAGACCUGCAGGUAUUAACUUUACUUUGGAAACACUGAGCCCUAUUUUUCAGCUUAGAUCUUUCCUACACAGAGACUGAAUUACACAUAGAACCUGUGGGUAACCAAAAACUAUUAUCUUGUGACUCCAAACUUUUAAUAAUCUGCUUCUUAAAAUAUCUCCCUGUAUGCCAGUUUAGCUGGGACGGCAUGGAUUUCAUCUUCCCGUGCAACAAAACGACGAUAACGAGUGAGGAUGCUAUUACCCACCAAAUCAUUCUCUAACUAGUGCUGCUUCCAGUUUACGUGUCCCCUGUUGUGCUAAAAGCAAUGCUAGCACAGCACCACUGGUAAAUCAGAUGUGAAAUGCUGCCUGUGGAAGGGCUAGCUCUGCCCAUGGGGUCCAGUCAGGCUGGCAGGCAUAAUGACAGGGAUUUGAAAACUGUGCAGUAAAAGCACAGAAAUGAAAGGUUCUGGUGGAAGAAAGAAUCGACAAAACUGGACCACCACUGUCUGUCCAACUCCAUGUCUAAGCCAAGCUCAAGCAGGUUAUAGCUGUAUUUCUAGCAUCAAAAAUCCAAACAAAUGAUGCAAUGAGGAAAAGGGUACUUGAAAUUAAGUUAAAAUGUACAUUUCUCUUUCAAAAUGUCAAUAUAUAAUGGUUAUAUUUUGAAGAUAAGCAUCAAUAGCAUUAAGAGUACAAAAGAGCAAAAUUUCACCCAAAUUACCAAUUUUGCAUAGUAAUUUACUUUUGCUCAGUGCAUUAAAUGGAGUUAAUAAGUAGACAGACCAUCUGAUGUAACAAGACCAGGUUUUAUAUUUUCAAUAAAUGGCGACAAUAGAAUGUUCUUCAUCAUAAAACUGAUGUAUUAUGUAACUAUAAUAGUACUUAGAGUACUCAUCCUCAUAUUUACUUGUAGUUAAUACACUUGAAUAAUUUGUCAGUAUUAAAUAAUUCUGCUUCUUUAUUUACCUUAACUGUGGAGACAACUGAGAGUAAAUAUCAUUGUGUAAUAAGUAUAAAUAUUUUGUUAGCUAUUUUAUUGCUACUUAUAACAGCUCCUUUACUAAGUGCACUUUUUAAACUAAAGGAUUAUAAAGCUCUUUAGUGUUUAAAUAAUCUCUUAGAAGAAUAAUCUGGAAAAUGAAAUCUGACACUGAGAGAAAAGUCUAAGAAUGCAAUUACUCUGCAGUCAUCGAAGCAAUUAUGCUGAAAACUAGGAAAACCUGAGUUCACUGUACAGUAGUUAGUGCAGGUGCAACAACUAGUGAAGAAAAAGCUGAUUCAGCUUGCCAAAAAUUUGGUCUAAAAUGAAUUGCUAUAAUCUAUGAAUAAAUAUAAACUGUGAAUUAGAAUUGUUCUGAUCUGGAGGGAGAGAAGUUCUGGGACAAUUUCACAAUUGGAUUUCAAGGAGUUCAUUUAUGUUAUAAACAAGAUGGUGGGGAUCUGUUAAGAUCUGCCCUCCAUGAUAUUCAUUGAUGUUGAAUUAACAAAGUUCUAUUCAGUUACCAGGCUGGUUGGCUUUGGCAGUUCCCUUCCAUAUCCUCCAAUGGACAUAAAAGCAAGCCUUGUAUUGUUUCUCUGAAAAGAAGCACAAUGAGAUGUUAUGUUCGAUCCUGUUGGAUGAAAAACUGAAGCCAGAAUCUGUCUGAUGAAAAAUUGAAGACAAAUUUUCUAACCUAAAUGUUUAAAUCCAGAUUUUCAGAAAUAAUUAGUAUUUACAGCUUCUGUUAGCUAGAGUAUCAAGCCUAGGAUAAUUGUGAACUGUGGUUCUAGCCAAGUAAAACCACUUGCUGAGUAAUGAUUAACUGAGACAUCAACCAGCAGAGAGGACUGCUAGAAUUUUAUGUUUCUGUCCACAGUGAUUAAACUCUUACUCCACGUUAGUAUAGCACCUUAUUUAGAAGAGGAUAAUCAAAGAAGAAUUUCAAAAUACAGAUUUAUAACCCCCUGUACAUUAUCUCAUACCUUUCAUUAUUUUUUUUUUUUUAUCAUUACACUUUGUCUUAUACUCUCCCAUUUCUUGCUGUGUUCAGCUGAAUUUCAGGGCCAUUCUUGAGGAUAUAUCACGUAGUGCUUAAUAGUGUGAAUGUUCAUGUUGAAGGGAACAGUAGCAAGCACGAUGAUAAUAUUUAUGGCAUCCCUUAGCUUAGAAUGUUCCUUGUCUGUGAGCAAGUCUGUUUUGUAUUUAUCCUGAAAGUAUUACUCAUAGAAGCCAAACCAUACGAAGAUUAACAUUUUUUAUUUACAGGGUAUGGAAUAAACCACACUGGUACAGAAUACAAGUAUGGCCAGUUCUGCAGAAUUUGCUUUUUGAUGUAUUUUUUUGUGAAUUAGCUGUUUUGUAAACCUCUUUGUGCAUUUUACUAAACACUGAGAAAAACUGUUACUUCAUUUUAUAUUAUUUCUUUUUUUACAGUUUCUCUUGCUGCUUUUUUUUUUUUCUUAUCUCUGGCAUUUACCUAUCAGCAAAGUUGUUCCUGUUUGCCUUUCUUCCUGUGUUUAAGUGUGUUGUCAAUAAUUAAGAAUAUUAUUAGGAACUGCAUAUAUUUCAAUUAAUUUGUUAUUUGUGAGAUCAUGUCCUGCCCUGCAGAUUGUGUGCUCUUUGGGAGAGGAUUUAUUGGUACUGUGGUAUGAACAUGAAAGCCUCAUUUUGUUAUAGUUACUGAGUAACUGUUACCACCAUAGAUGAUGAUGAUGAUGAUGAUAACAACAACAACCCCAGAACCAAUAAUAAUAAUUUAAUAGGAAAUAAGUAGAAAGACAUAGGUUCAGAUUCUGAAUGGAUAUCAAUCAGCUGAUUUACACCAGCUAAGACUCUGACCUGCAGCAUUUUAACAGCUAAGAUUUGUCCAUGGACAUCAAUUUGCUAGGGCUCUAGAACCUUACAUAAGUACAUAAUGAUGGAGUGAACACAUGUUCAAAAUACUUCUGAUGCACUGUAAUAAUAAUGCUAUAAAGAUUAUUUUUAUCAUGAAAUAGAAAUAUAUUUUAUAUUGCAUUGUUUUGCGCAUUUAACAAAUAAACUUGUAAUGUAUUAAA